RNAcentral lists this ribosomal RNA (427 nucleotides) under uncultured bacterium. RNAcentral describes it as "partial 16S ribosomal RNA". It matches the Rfam family "Bacterial small subunit ribosomal RNA", at positions 355 to 774 of the family's 1533-position model. The record is from RNAcentral.
UGGGGAAUAUUGCACAAUGGGCGCAAGCCUGAUGCAGCCAUGCCGCGUGUAUGAAGAAGGCCUUCGGGUUGUAAAGUACUUUCAGCGAGGAGGAAGGCGUUGUGGUUAAUAACCGCAACGAUUGACGUUACUCGCAGAAGAAGCACCGGCUAACUCCGUGCCAGCAGCCGCGGUAAUACGGAGGGUGCAAGCGUUAAUCGGAAUUACUGGGCGAAAAGCGCACGCAGGCGGUCUGUCAAGUCGGAUGUGAAAGCCACGGGCUCAACCUGGGAACUGCAUCCGAAACUGGCAGGCUAGAGUCUUGUAGAGGGGGGUAGAAUUCCAGGUGUAGGGGUGAAAUGCGUAGAGAUCUGGAUGAAUACCGGUGGCGAAGGCGUCCCCCUGGACAAAGACUGACGCUCAGGUGCGAAAGCGUGGGGAGCAAACA